UUUAAAUUGAGAGUUUGAUCCUGGCUCAGGAUGAACGCUGGCGGCGUGCUUAACACAUGCAAGUCGAGCGAUGAAGUUUCCUUCGGGAAACGGAUUAGCGGCGGACGGGUGAGUAACACGUGGGUAACCUGCCUCAUAGAGUGGAAUAGCCUUCCGAAAGGAAGAUUAAUACCGCAUAAUGCUGAAAGAUGGCAUCAUCAUUCAACCAAAGGAGCAAUCCGCUAUGAGAUGGACCCGCGGCGCAUUAGCUAGUUGGUGGGGUAACGGCCUACCAAGGCGACGAUGCGUAGCCGACCUGAGAGGGUGA
RNAcentral lists this ribosomal RNA (307 nucleotides) under Clostridium perfringens. Its description in RNAcentral is "partial 16S ribosomal RNA". It matches the Rfam family "Bacterial small subunit ribosomal RNA", at positions 1 to 303 of the family's 1533-position model. Lineage: Bacteria; Bacillati; Bacillota; Clostridia; Eubacteriales; Clostridiaceae. The record is from RNAcentral.